UGGACGUCGGCCCCAUCUUCCGAGGCCUGCUGCACGUGCAGCACAUGGAUGGGAACAUGACAAUUAGCAUCAGGAACAAGAAAGAGGGCAACGGGUAACGAAUACACAACGAAACACACAAACGUGGCACAGAUGUGGCCCACCACUACCUGCCUACAUCAAACAAAUCUGCCGUACUCCGAUAGCCAUAUCGUAGUACGACAGCGUCUUGAUGCCCCACGUAAAACACAUAAGAGCCCCGACCCUCGCCCCCAUCUUACCUCCAUUCCCGGUUGGACGUUGGCCCCAUCUUCCGAGGCCUGCUGCACGUGCAGCACAUGGAUGGGAACAUGACAAUUAGGGCAGGCACGUCAAUGGCGGAGGCGAAACAUACACGCCCCCCUCCCCCAACCAGCCCCAGCCACCCUCCAUAGCAUCAGGAACAAGAAAGAGGGCAACAGGUAACGAUUCCACAACGAAACACACAACCGUGGCACAGAUGUGGCCCACCACUACCUGCCUACAUCAAACAAAUCUGCCGUACUCCGAUAGCCAUAUCAGAGUACGACAGCGUUUUGAUGCCCCACGUAAAACACAUAAGAGCCCCGACCCUCGCCCCCAUCUUACCUCCAUUCCCGGCUGGACGUCGGCCCCAUCUUCCGAGGCCUGCUGCACGUGCAGCACAUGGAUGGGAACAUGACAAUUAGCAUCAGGAACAAGAAAGAGGGCAACGGGUAACGAAUACACAACGAAACACACAAACGUGGCACAGAUGUGGCCCACCACUACCUGCCUACAUCAAACAAAUCUGCCGUACUCCGAUAGCCAUAUCGUAGUACGACAGCGUCUUGAUGCCCCACGUAAAACACAUAAGAGCCCCGACCCUCGCCCCCAUCUUACCUCCAUUCCCGGUUGGACGUUGGCCCCAUCUUCCGAGGCCUGCUGCACGUGCAGCACAUGGAUGGGAACAUGACAAUUAGGGCAGGCACGUCAAUGGCGGAGGCGAAACAUACACGCCCCCCUCCCCCAACCAGCCCCAGCCACCCUCCAUAGCAUCAGGAACAAGAAAGAGGGCAACGGGUAACGAUUCUACAACGAAACACACAACCGUGGCACAGAUGUGGCCCACCACUAUCUGCCUACAUCAAACAAAUCUGCCGUACUCCGAUAGCCAUAUCGGAGUACGACAGCAUUUUGAUGGCCCAUGAAAAACACAUAAGAGCCCCGACCCCCGCCCCCAUCUUACCUCCAUUCCCGGCUGGACGUCGGCCCCAUCUUCCGAGGCCUGCUGCACGUGCAGCACAUGGAUGGGAACAUGACAAUUAGGGCAGGCACGUCAAUGGCGGAGGCGAAACAUACACGCCCCCCUCCCCCAACCAGCCCCAGCCACCCUCCAUAGCAUCAGGAACAAGAAAGAGGGCAACGGGUAACGAUUCCACAACGAAACACACAACCGUGGCGCAGAUGUGGCCCACCACUACCUGCCUACAUUGGGACAUUGGACAUUGAAGCCAUAAUAGCCAAAGCACAUUGGGAAGCAUGAAUAUAGCCGGUGAACUUAUCAUAAGUGAAAUUUAGGUUACUUAGGGUGUUUGCCACUUGUUUUGGUGCUCCGAUGUAACAUGACCAUUGGUAGUCAUGGUCAUGGCCCAAAGGAACGCCGAUUGUUCCAGCACAAAGUAGAAUAUAGUUGAUGAACAAAUAAGUACAUAGGCAAGGUUACCCGAGGACAACGUCGAUCGACCUGGUCGACCAGGUCCGCCAAUGUAGUGGGUCCAUGCCACAAUAUCCGAAAGUCAGCUGAAAUCAUUUAAAACCUUGUCAGGUUUACUGAACAAAAUUACGACCGACGAGGUUUCCAUGCAAUUGGCUGACAUAACCCACGUCAAAAGUAACCUCAUCCAGACAACCGUCCCGUAGCUGCUGAGCCUUGGGCGCUACACGUCUCUGGACUGCCAAAUGGCCGUAGGUAGAGAGCAAAUCGUAAGGACAAAUAAUGCCUCCCUACACUCAUAUUUGAUGGCAAACAUGUUAACUAACCUCGUCAUAACAUUUCACACACUCAGCGCGCAUAUCUGUGCCUAAUUAUGACACUUUCAAGGUUGCACAUUUAUCAAGCUUCUAGCUGGCGAGUAACCUGUCCAGACAACUGCCCCGUAGCUACCGAGCCUGACGAGUUACACGUCUCCAGACUGCCAUAGGGAGGGCAGUUGCCGUCUCCGCCUCGUCCGUAAAGUUUCUUUAGUUUAGCAUUAAAUAGCAGCCUGUAUCGAGCUUUCAGUACUUGCAGUUUGAGCCAGUGUGGCAUCUUUGUGUUACUAAGGAAGGAAUUGCUAGAUUCGGGGUCUAACUUCGAGGCAGUGUUACGCCAUUUUUCAGUUAGUAUUGUGUCGUUGGUAUAGCCUGCGAAGGUACCUUGCUGGAGACGCUUAUAAAGGCCUUUGUUCAGGUCACUAAUGUAAAGACCAGUGUCGCGUUGUUUCAGCCAGAACACUUUAUCGAACGGGGCAUUGUCGGCCUUUUCAGUAAAUGUUGCUGGGUUCUCACCUCGUGCGACAGAUGUUGC
Molecule: long non-coding RNA, 2545 nt
Filed under: Volvox carteri
Lineage: Eukaryota; Viridiplantae; Chlorophyta; Chlorophyceae; Chlamydomonadales; Volvocaceae
Description: long non-coding RNA (VCAR_LNC003605)
Source: RNAcentral